Long non-coding RNA from Carassius auratus (goldfish), 2040 nucleotides. RefSeq lists it as uncharacterized. NCBI's taxonomy places the organism in Eukaryota, Metazoa, Chordata, Actinopteri, Cypriniformes, Cyprinidae. The transcript is spliced from 3 exons. The record is from RefSeq and is a predicted model, not a curated record.
ACGCCCAGAUCCUUAAUAGUUUCGGCUCAAUGUUAAAAAAAUUUUUCCCCCGUCUAGAAUCUAAUGUGGAGUUGGAUUAUUCCUGACGUUUGGGCAAACAAUAUGAAUCUCUCAAUUCUGCUGCUUUGUCUGUUCUCGCAGAUCGUCGAUGGUGUUUAUAAAGAAGUGAAGGAGGGAGAAUCUAUCAUUCUACCCACCGACGUUACUAAGUCAAUAAAAUAUCACAUAAUUUGGAAGUUUGAAUCGAUACACAUUGCGGACAUUUAUCCUAGCAUGAAUGAUUUAGGCCUAACUAAUUAUGUGAAAGCUGAAAUUUUCGGAGGCAGACUACAGGUGGACUUCACAACUGGAUCUCUAACCAUCAGAAACGCAACGAGUGAAGACUCAGGACUUUAUUAUCUAAAUAUUGUCUAUCCCAGCAGAAUAACAACGUCAAAGACAUUUAAUGUCACUGUCAGUUCCUCAUUCAUACCUUUAGUAAGAGAGUCCAGAAAUUGCUCUCCAUCAUCAGAAAGAUCAUCAGUGACAUACUUUUUAUUUUUCUGUUUUUUAUUUUUUCCCAAUUGAGGACAUGCAACAACAUGCAGAAUGAUGGAAGAGGAUCAUAAUAACAUAACUGAACAUAACUUCCAGCAACGCCAAACUUGUCUUGUCUGAACUUGUGUGUAUUCUCUUCGUUGUGAUCAAAUAUUUGGUAAUCAGUAUUUCCCUUCUGUCUAGUGAAUACAGAGUAAUCAUUCUCAUUCAUCACUGUUGCUGCUCUUCUGUGGAGUGGUGAGGAAACACAAAGUAACCAUCACCAUGAUGUUUAGGCCUACAGCUACAGUGAUUGUGACUGUCGUUGACUCUAUUAUUAGUUAUGAUUAUAUAGCCAGUAGUUUCUAAUAACUAAUAGUUGUUGUUUUUUUCAUUCAUUUUUAAUGAUUAAAUCAUAUAAUCAUAAUUUUUAUCAUUUAUAUCAUUUUCAUUAUGUAAUCAUUACAUAAUUAUUUUUACGGUUUUAUACAUUUCUUAAUAUUUUUCCUGCUUAUGCAUUUUCAUUGUUGUUUAAACUUAUGAUUGUGGGGUUUCACAUACAUUUUUAUACGCUGAUUACAUUGAAAUAAUGUUAGAAAGUGAUGUUGCUUUAACAUCACUCUUGCACCCUCAGUUAAUAUUGAAAUAAUGUUCAGAUUUCAACCACAAAUCAAUGGUGUUAAUAUUGCUUCAACAUUACAAAGUGAUGUUGUUUCAACGUCACUUUUGCACCCACAUUCGAAACAUUAUUAAUAUUGAAGACAAAAACAUGCUCUUAACAUUGAAUCAAUAUUCAACCAACUAUAUUAAUAAAAAAUUUAAAACACUGUUUCAAUCACAUUCUUCUUUAUUUUCCAGUCUUUGUUCUUUUAAUUCAUUCAACUCAAAAGCACUCAAUUCCAUGUAAAAAACAAAAAACAAAAGAAAAAACCUUAAUACAGACUCAAAAGUAAACCAAUAAACAAAUAAACCAAUGAACAAAAAAAGCUAAUUAAUUUGUAUCUGGAGGUACAGACGGAACAGUUUCACUGGUUUGAAGUGCAGUUCCGCCCACACGGUACGGUGCAUAUCGGAGCCAUUUCUGGACUGCCUGACUAUAUUCAUACUGGGAAACUUUUCCCAUACCCAUCUGCAAAGUCAUAGCAUCUAACAAAAGAAAAACAACAAGAUAUGAAAUGUAUGCAAUUUAUUACAUUAAUGGAGGAACUGGAACAGGGAAAUAUUGGAUGAAGUAAGGUCAAUUUCUGGGAACACAAAAGGCAGAACAACAAAUAAAAUCAUUGAUAGUAAUAACUCACCAAAUAUACACAUAUUCAAGAACGUAUCCUUGAAUGCCCUCUUUUGCCUUGACUGCUUUUUAACCAUCUUCCCAGCCCAAUUUAGUGAUGAUGCCAGCUCAUUGGUCAGUGCACAAGCAUGCAACAGACUUACUUCCAAUGAGGUUCCUCCAAUUAUGCUGAAGUGUUUUACCUGCCAUACAAAAUGUGAACACAAAGCAGAGAGAACAUGUAAAAUGUAAAAAAA